UAUUAACCCAAAAUAAUAUUAACCAUUGCCACUCAUGAUGGCUUACCAAUCAAAAUAUACAUAUAUGGUUUAAGGCAUGUAUCUUAGAACUUUACAUCACAUGUACGUAUUUACAAACAAAAAUAACUCUGGGCUUCCAGCGAAGUGACUAAGGUGAAGGUGCGGCUACGGAAUGCCAAAAUACCUACCAAGGAUACGAAUCUACGAGAACACCUCGACCUAGUUACCGGUUGCCUCUUGAUCUGAAAACAUGAAGUUGAAAACGGUGAGUAUAAACCCAGUGAGUGAACAAAGAAAGAGAACAAGCAACGAUAAGGAAAGUUGAUAAUCAUGAUGCACUUAUUCGAAAACAAUGCAACUUAGUUCAAGUUCUUAUUAAAAUCCCUCCAUUAAACCUUUGGUUAUUAAAUCAUUUAAUGAUGAAGGAACCAUAUUCAGCAUGAAGUUGGAAAGAGAGGAAAUUUCCAGCAAUCAUCCAAGCAAGGCAGCAUAAACAGAAUGUUUCUUGCUGCAAUAAAAUCAAUUUGCAAGUAAACGGAAAAUUUUCAUGAUUCAUCAUGCCAUACAAUCACAUAUUACAACCAUGAUCUUUCUAUUGCAUAUACAUAUACUUAAGCACAUAUCAAUUCAUAUACCACCCUAUCUCACCCAGUUCAUAUGCAUUCUCUCACAUCGUGCACAUAGCCGGACACCCCAUCUCAUGUGCAUCCCCCCACAUCGUGCACAUAGCCGGAGUCAUCGUGUACAUCCCCCCACAUCGUGCACAUGGGCAGUAUCACUAUCCAUCUCCUUCACCACCGUCAUCACCGACAAGUGCAAACUCACCCCACACAUGCACGGUUUCAUUUGUCACACAAUGGUACCAUUUAGGACAUAGUAUAUAUAUAUAUAUAUAUAUAUAUAUAUAUAUAUANACCAUUUAGGACAUAAUAUAUAUAUAUAUAUAUAUAUAUAUAUAUAUAUAAUAUCAACAUUAUACAAAAACAUAUGAAUUUAUCACACUAUCCAUUUCAUAACAUGAAAACAUUUCAUAAGGGCUUGUUCCUGCACAAGUUUUGAAGAAAGAACCAAAUAAAACGUUUGAGAGGAUUCAAUCAAACAUAUAUGUGUAUAUCCCAAAACCUUUUAAUGCAAGUUCACUCAUCGGUAUUUGUUAAAUCCUUACUUAAUUCCAACUUCCUCUAAUGGUCCAAAUAGGGCAGUGGAGCUUCGUUGGAACUUAUCAUUGUAAUAGCAUCACAAUUAACUCAAUUCACAUAAAUAUGGUUCUAGAAGCUAUCUCCUAAAUUAUGUUCUGUUAGUUAUUCCUAGCUAAUUUCCAACUACCAUUAAGUGGCUAUCUAUUUUCACUACUCUAAUCACACUAAAUUGAAUAAAUCCUUAACUACAAAACACUCACAGAUCUAACCACCAGUCAUUCUUAACAACUAAAAAUAUCAACUCAAUUUCAAUACUCACCUUGCUAGCUUUGUAGUUAGAUUCCUCGUAAAGAAUUCCCAAACUAUUAUAGAGAGUAUUUCUCUCUCUCUCUCUCUAAAACACAUAGCUAGUGAGUGAAAGUAUUAGUUUAAGACUUUAGAGGGUUUUUAAGGUGAAAGAGUAAAAGAGCACACAGGGCUUGUGAAAAGAUGCACAAAAACAUGAAAUUUGAAACUAACUUGAGAGAGUUAUGGAAGCUUGAAGAGAUCUCCCAUGGAGGAUGAAGAAACGUGAGAUUAAGAGAAAGAUGGGAAGAAGAAGCUGC
This 1744-nucleotide long non-coding RNA is filed under the name Theobroma cacao (cacao). RNAcentral describes it as "long non-coding RNA (TCAC_LNC000123)". The record is from RNAcentral. Lineage: Eukaryota; Viridiplantae; Streptophyta; Magnoliopsida; Malvales; Malvaceae.